Molecule: signal recognition particle RNA, 298 nt
Filed under: Saimiri boliviensis boliviensis (Bolivian squirrel monkey)
Lineage: Eukaryota; Metazoa; Chordata; Mammalia; Primates; Cebidae
Description: Metazoan signal recognition particle RNA (ENSSBOG00000002907.1)
Rfam family: Metazoan signal recognition particle RNA
About the family: The signal recognition particle (SRP) is a universally conserved ribonucleoprotein. It is involved in the co-translational targeting of proteins to membranes.
Source: RNAcentral
GCUGGGUGCAGUGGAGUGUGCCUGUAGUCCCAGCUACUCAGGAGGCUGAGGUGGGAGGAUCGCUUGAGCCCAGGAGUUCUGGGCUGUAAUGUGCUAUGCUGAUUGGGUGUCCACACUAAGUUCGGCAUCAGUAUGGUGACCUCCUGGGAGUGGGGGACCACCAGAUUGCCUAAGGAGGGGUGAACCAUCCCAGGUUGGAAUGGAGCAGAUCAAAACUCCUGUGCUGAUCAGUACUGGGAUCACGCCUGUGAAUGGCCGCUACACUCCAGCCUGGGCAACAUAGCGAGACUCUGUCUCU